CAUUAAGAAGCUAAAGGACUAAGCGACAGCCUUUUAAGCUGUAGAUAGGUGACACCCAACCACCCUUAGUGG
This 72-nucleotide transfer RNA is filed under the name Eleutherodactylus atkinsi (Atkin's robber frog). Its description in RNAcentral is "tRNA-Lys". Lineage: Eukaryota; Metazoa; Chordata; Amphibia; Anura; Eleutherodactylidae. The record is from RNAcentral.